UCCCUGAUGGUCCAGUGGUUAGGAAUCUGCCAUUCCACUGCAGAGGGCACAGGUUCAAUUCCUGGUCAAGCAG
This 73-nucleotide transfer RNA is filed under the name Bos taurus (domestic cattle). It matches the Rfam family "tRNA". Rfam says of the family: Transfer RNA (tRNA) molecules are approximately 80 nucleotides in length. Their secondary structure includes four short double-helical elements and three loops (D, anti-codon, and T loops). Lineage: Eukaryota; Metazoa; Chordata; Mammalia; Artiodactyla; Bovidae. RNAcentral also lists the same sequence under 5 other names. The record is from Rfam by way of RNAcentral.